Drosophila suzukii is the source of this 100-nucleotide small nucleolar RNA. RefSeq annotates it as small nucleolar RNA Me28S-Am2634. The record is from RefSeq and is a predicted model, not a curated record. NCBI's taxonomy places the organism in Eukaryota, Metazoa, Arthropoda, Insecta, Diptera, Drosophilidae.
AAUUGUGUUUUCUCUGAUGAUAUAUCGAGUAGGAAUCUCAUUGAGCUUCAGUCAUGCGUUGCUAUGAAAUCAAUUUUAAUCUCUAACUGAUAAAACAAUU